Molecule: ribosomal RNA, 468 nt
Filed under: uncultured bacterium
Lineage: Bacteria
Description: partial 16S ribosomal RNA
Rfam family: Bacterial small subunit ribosomal RNA
Source: RNAcentral
GACGAACGCUGGCGGCGUGCUUAACACAUGCAAGUCGAACGGAAAGGCCCUGCUUUUGUGGGGUGCUCGAGUGGCGAACGGGUGAGUAACACGUGAGUAACCUGCCCUUGACUUUGGGAUAACUUCAGGAAACUGGGGCUAAUACCGGAUAGGAGCUCCUGCUGCAUGGUGGGGGUUGGAAAGUUUCGGCGGUUGGGGAUGGACUCGCGGCUUAUCAGCUUGUUGGUGGGGUAGUGGCUUACCAAGGCUUUGACGGGUAGCCGGCCUGAGAGGGUGACCGGCGACAUUGGGACUGAGAUACGGCCCAGAAUGCUACGGGAGGCAGCAGUGGGGAAUAUUGCACAAUGGGCGGAAGCCUGAUGCAGAAACGCCGCGUGCGGGAUGACGGCCUUCGGGUUGUAAACCGCUUUCGCCUGUGACGAAGCGUGAGUGACGGUAAUGGGUAAAGAAGCACCGGCUAACUACGUG